CCUGUCUCUAGAGGCACUGCAGGUGUGGCUGCUGUCACAUGUGCAUCAAUAGGUGGCAGAGAGAAGAGAGGCUAUGUCUACCCUUGUGUUCUGACCUGUGAACAUCUGAAUGAUCAGUAACCUAACACU
Molecule: small nucleolar RNA, 129 nt
Organism: Rattus norvegicus (Norway rat)
Lineage: Eukaryota; Metazoa; Chordata; Mammalia; Rodentia; Muridae
Product: small nucleolar RNA SNORA17
Source: Ensembl